This 775-nucleotide ribosomal RNA is filed under the name uncultured Neocallimastigales. RNAcentral's name for it is "partial large subunit ribosomal RNA". It matches the Rfam family "Eukaryotic large subunit ribosomal RNA", at positions 23 to 621 of the family's 3401-position model. The record is from RNAcentral. Lineage: Eukaryota; Fungi; Neocallimastigomycota; Neocallimastigomycetes; Neocallimastigales.
GAGACUCUGUGCGCGUGCAUAUCAAUAAGCGGAGGGAAAAGAAACUAACAAGGAUUCCCUUAGUAACGGCGAGUGAAGCGGGAAGAGCUCAAAUUUGAAAUCUUCAAGGUUCUACCUUGACGAAUUGUAGUUUAUAGAAGUGUUUUCUGUUAGUGGAGUGGCAAAAGUUCUUUGGAAUAGGACAUCAUAGAGGGUGAGAAUCCCGUAUUUGGUCAUUCCUCCUAGCGUUGUGAUACACUUUCAACGAGUCGGAUUGUUUGGGAAUGCAGUCCAAAAUGGGUGGUAAAUUUCAUCUAAAGCUAAAUAUUGGCGAGAGACCGAUAGCGAACAAGUACCGUGAGGGAAAGAUGAAAAGAACUUUGAAAAGAGAGUUAAACAGUACGUGAAAUUGUCAAAAGGGAAGCGUUUGACACCAGUGUUGUUUUUCCGAAAAUCAAUUACGAAUGUUUUGUUUUUGAGGAGUUAUGACUUCAUCGGCUUGCUCCUUUCUUUAUGAAACUUUCUUAAUGCACUUUUCGGUUAACAAGUCAACAUCAAUUUCUUUUGUUGUAAAAGGGUAUGAGGAAGGUGGCUUUCUUUUCGGAGAAAGUGUUUAUAGCCUUGUGCCUCUACAAUCGGAGAGAUUGAGGUCUGCAGCGUAGAUCCUUCGGGGUUAGAUACGUUUGUGCUAAGUUAUAGCUUUUCAUAGACAACUUGUUGACUAUGUUUAGUCUUGUAGCUUACUCGCUGACGCUAUUUUACCUACGCUUAGGAUGUUGAACUCUAUCACACACAG